AUUCUUUUAGUAUUACUCAGUACAACUGACUUCCAAUCAGUUAGAUUCGGCACUAACCCGAAAAAGAAUA
This 70-nucleotide transfer RNA is filed under the name Cheirogaleus medius (lesser dwarf lemur). RNAcentral describes it as "tRNA-Gly". Lineage: Eukaryota; Metazoa; Chordata; Mammalia; Primates; Cheirogaleidae. The record is from RNAcentral.